AUGGCACCGUGUCCCCAUAUUGAUGUUUUGAUGGGUGGGGUCACGGUUUCAUGCUUGUUAGAUAGUGGUUCCAUGGUGUCUACGAUCCUUGAAAGUUUCUUUGUAGAACAUUUUGCAUCAUGGGGCCAAGAGCGCUUUCGGUCUUGUAAUUGGCUGCAAUUGCGGGCAGCUAAUGGUCUUUGUAUCCCGUACAUCGGUUACUUGGAGCUGGAUGUGACCUUGUGUGGAAAAGUGGUCCCUGGUUGUGGGAUUCUGGUGGUGAGAGACCCUCCUGAUGCUGCAUCUGCUUCCCCGGGGAUCUUGGGGAGCAACAUCAUUCGUCGAUGCUAUCGUGAACUCUUUGCCAUGCAUGGCCCCGCCCUCUUCAAAGCGCCGUCGGUGGUUCAAGCCCCAGGCCCAGUCCUUGAAGCCUUGCAACGGUGCCAUCAGGCCACCACAGAACAUCAGAGAAACAUCACUGGUUCCGCCUGGGUUUGUGGGAGACGGGCAAUACGAAUACCUGGUGGAGUACUGAAGCUUGUGGCAACUACCUGUGCAGAGCAGCGGGCUGGUCAGGCUGCGCUGUUUGAACCAACAGAGUCUGGCCUGCCAGCAGGGCUGCUGACUUUUCCUUGUGUGGUCCAGGUUACCCGUGGUACAGUUUACGUCCCAGUGGUCAAUGUGGGGACGACUGAUGUCCUUCUCUACCCACGUGUUGGUCUUGGCGCUUUAAGUAGUGCGCAGGUUGUCAGUCUACCAGCUGGCGUAACUGAGGUGAAGCUCACUACAGCCUCAGUUUCAUCCCAUGCAGCUGCUGGCACAACAACGGGUGGGGUACAAGCUGGGGACCUGUCCGCUCUAGCCGAGCAAGAGCAGAGUGAGGUGUAUGCUCUGCUGCAGAAAUACCAGGCAAUUUUCUCGAAUCGCGACGGUGACUUGGGUUGUACCAACCUUAUCUCUCACGAGAUUCCCUUGCUGGACGAGAUUCCGGUGAGACAGCGGUACCGACGGAUACCACCUUCGGAGUACGAGGAGGUGAAGGCUCACAUUGACCAGUUACUUGAAGCUAAGGUGAUCCGGGAAAGCAAUAGCCCUUUUGCUUCCCCCAUUGUCCUGGUCCGUAAAAAGGAUGGUAGUCUCCGGAUGUGUGUUGACUACCGCCUGCUUAAUCGCAAGACACGGAAGGACGCAUUUCCCUUACCUCGCAUCGAGGAAAGCCUUGACUCCCUUGCUGGAGCUCGCUGGUUCACCACCCUCGAUUUAGCGAGUGGGUACAACCAGGUCCCCGUCACAGAGCAGGACAAGUCGAAGAAAGCCUUUUGUACACCUUUCGGUCUCUUCGAGUUUAACCGUAUGCCAUUCGGCUUGUGCAACGCCCCAAGCACCUUUCAGAGAUUAAAGGACAAUUCCGGUAUUUUGAACAUUGAGCCCCCUUUCUGGUUUGUUUAUGAUGAAAUAGAGUGGGUGACACCGAAAUUUUAA
This 1461-nucleotide long non-coding RNA is filed under the name Gadus morhua (Atlantic cod). RNAcentral's name for it is "lncRNA (ENSGMOG00000032347.1)". The record is from RNAcentral. Lineage: Eukaryota; Metazoa; Chordata; Actinopteri; Gadiformes; Gadidae.